AUUGAACGCUGGCGGCAGGCCUAACACAUGCAAGUCGAACGGUAACAGGAAGCAGCUUGCUGCUUCGCUGACGAGUGGCGGACGGGUGAGGAAUGUCUGGGAAACUGCCUGAUGGAGGGGGUUAAUUACUGGAAACGGUAGCUAAAACCGCAUAACGUCGCAAGCACAAAGAGGGGGACCUUAGGGACCCUUGCCAUCGGAUUUACCCAGAUGGGAUUAGCUAGUAGGUGGGGUAACGGCUAACCCAGGCGACGAUCCCUAGCUGGUCUGAGAGGAUGACCAGCCACACUGGAACUGAGACACGGUCCAGACUCCUACGGGAGGCAGCAGUGGGGAAUAUUGCACAAUGGGCGCAAGCCUGAUGCAGCCAUGCCGCGUGUAUGAAGAAGGCCUUCGGGUUGUAAAGUACUUUCAGCGGGGAGGAAGGGAGUAAAGUUAAUACCUUUGCUCAUUGACGUUACCCGCAGAAGAAGCGCCGGCUAACUCCGUG
This 490-nucleotide ribosomal RNA is filed under the name uncultured bacterium. Its description in RNAcentral is "partial 16S ribosomal RNA". It matches the Rfam family "Bacterial small subunit ribosomal RNA", at positions 30 to 507 of the family's 1533-position model. The record is from RNAcentral.